Molecule: long non-coding RNA, 2456 nt
Organism: Pseudopipra pipra
Lineage: Eukaryota; Metazoa; Chordata; Aves; Passeriformes; Pipridae
Exons: 8
Source: RefSeq, a predicted model, not a curated record
UCCCUUCCCGUGAGGCCCCGGGGGAAAGGGAGCAGCCCAAUCACAGACGGUAUAAAAGCUCUGGGAGCAGCAGCACCUGAGUGGCAUCUGCGGCUUGAAAUCAGGAUGGGUGAAGAGCCUGCGGGAGGAAAGGAUCGUUAAGGAGAGCAGGUACGGCACACGGUGACGGCAGCAGCCUCCGACUGGGGUCAGAGCCAGUGGCCCGAGAACCUCUCAGCUCAGGGGAGGUGACCCAGUCAGGGAUCACAGGACCCUCUGAGCCAGCUGGGCGUCCUUCCUUCACAUCGAAGAUGGAUUCACAUCCCCAGCUGUGGGAAAGAUAAGUGGAGGACUCCCACCUGGAGAGGGGAUGGGAGCUGGGUCCAGUUUUAUGGUUAGGAGGGAGGGAUUUUCAGAUGAGCACACGGGAAAGGGUCUGCCCUAACAGGCCCUUGGCACACAUGGGAGGAGCAGUUUACUUUUCAUCAUGGAGUAGGAUGUGCAGGGCAGAGCUGUUCAGGUCUGUGUCGUGUCCUUUGUCCGGUCUGUGUUUCGUGUCUUACACUUCACAGUCACCACAUCUUUGGUUUCUGCCUUCAAAGGCCUUUCUGCCCUCCAAGGUCUUAUCUGAGAUGCCAAGGCAUCAUUCCUAGGGUCUUGAACCUCUGCACUGCCCAGCCCAGUGCCCAUACCAUCCGUUCUUUGGCUCACAAGCUUGGACAUGCAUCGGAAUCGCAUCUGAGAAGUGUCAGGUCAGGUGUCUUUUACAGCCUCCUCACAGGUUGUAUCGGUGGCUGUGCCGUGCAGUCAUCCCUUGUCAUCCCACCUGGGAUUUCUGAGAGUUUAAGAAGAUUCUGAACAUAGCCUUGUCUCCCAUCCAUCUUAGCCUUUUUGUAGGCAGUUCUUGUCCCAGGCCAUUCUGUUAGAGUGUGUGUUCAGGCUCCUCAGAGCCUCCUCCGUUCAGUCUCGCCGUAUCCUCCGUCUUCUCGUGCGGCAGCACAUCCAUUUUGGCGUCGUUCCUUUCUCAGAGUUCUCUCUCCUGGUUGCACCACAGCACUUGUCUGGAAAUGUGUCCUUGGAGUUUGUGUUGGGCCUGGAACUGCUCUGCCCUGCAGUGUAGACUUGGGGGUAGGUGGAGUAGAAAGGAGACUUCCCAGUUACCCUGUGGAUAGGCUUAGGCACUGAGGGCAGGGCCUUAAAGUGAGGUCAGUGUUUGUUUGUACAGGUUGUCUUUGGACCCCCAGAGGGCUUGUCUAAGGAGAAAUUAGAAUUGCACAGCAGUUAAUGUUGCCCUGUGUAUAUGGCUGACUUUGGUAACUCAUUUCUUUGCAGUGUCAGAGGGACUGGAUGUAAAGCAGAGAUGAACAGAAGAGGCUGGAGGAGCACAGUCAGAAGAUGCAGAGCCCUCAGCCCAGCAGAGGACAGGCACCAGGGGGAAGGUGAGCCCGGUGAGGAAGGCAAUGCACAGACUUCUAACGUGCAGUCCAACGUGACAGGGACCCUGCCUGAGAUGUAGGCAGCCUCAGAUGGCCGAAGCCAACUCACAGUGAGGUGACGGACACAGUUUGGUCCCCUUGAGCUGUCCUUGUAGGUAAUCUCUGAGUAUUGAAAGGAUCAGCAAUGAGGCACUGAGCUUUUUGGAUUGCAGGUGCCAUCCGGGUAACCUUUGGGAGCAGAUGAGCAUUGGAGGUAUCCCAGAAGAUGACAGCACAUUGUCCAAGUCUGGUCAGAGUCAGUGACCCGAGGACCUGCCUCGGUGACAUUGACUCCGAGUAGUGUGACGAUGACAGGAACCUCUGAGCCAGCCCAGGUGCCCGUCCUGUGCAUCCAAGCUGGAUUGGCAUCCCCUGCUCUCGGAAAGAUAAGUGCUGGGCAAAGACCCAGAGAGGGGUUGGGAGUCAGUGCAAGUCUGUGCCUCGCCUGGAGGGAUUUUUGCAAUUAUUCCAGUGCAGGGGGUAUCCUGGAACAGGUUAUUUGGAGACAUCAAAGGAAGGGCUUACUUUUUAUCAUUGGAUUCACGUGUGCAGGGUAGAGCAGUUCUGGUCUGUGUCACAUCCUUUGUCUCGUCCAUGUUUUGUGUCCUUCAUCUCUUAAUUGUUUCACAUGGUGUGUGUGGUCACAGGUGUGGGGUGUCUCACUUGGGGUCAGCCUGGAACUGCUCUGCCCUGCUCCGUGGAUCAGUGGGUAGAUGGAAUAUUGCUCAGAGUCUCGUAUCAACAUGUCAGUUCCCUCAGACAGUCGAGCCCAUGGCUGUACGGUCCUGCCGGGUGGAGCAGGUGUCCAUAACUCAGGUGCAAUCGUGUGCAGUGAGCUCAUCCAGCAGCCAGGCUUCAAUGGGAUAAGAGCUUUCCCUUUCUUUCAUUGAAUGGGAUUUCUCAAGCUAUUCCUGCUUUAUUAAAGCAUCAGCUUUGGUAUCCAAAGAAGCAGAGCUGUAUAUGGUAAUGAAGAGGAUUACACUCACAUGCAGGGUUUUUAAA